Molecule: ribosomal RNA, 373 nt
Filed under: uncultured bacterium
Lineage: Bacteria
Description: bacterial SSU rRNA
Rfam family: Bacterial small subunit ribosomal RNA
Source: RNAcentral
UAAUACGGAGGAUCCGAGCGUUAUCCGGAUUUAUUGGGUUUAAAGGGAGCGUAGAUGGGUUGUUAAGUCAGUUGUGAAAGUUUGCGGCUCAACCGUAAAAUUGCAAUUGAUACUGGCAGUCUUGAGUACAGUUGAGGUAGGCGGAAUUCGUGGUGUAGCGGUGAAAUGCUUAGAUAUCACGAAGAACUCCGAUUGCGAAGGCAGCUUACUAACCUGUAACUGACAUUGAUGCUCGAAAGUGUGGGUAUCAAACAGGAUUAGAUACCCUGGUAGUCCACACGGUAAACGAUGAAUACUCGCUGUAGGCGAUAUACAGUCUGCGGCCAAGCGAAAGCAUUAAGUAUUCCACCUGGGGAGUACGCCGGCAACGGUG